UCUCAGCUUGUUUGUGAGGGGGUAUAGGUCCUGUGUAUUUGUGACAGUGUGUGGGGUAAGUUGGCAGUGAGUGGGGAAAGUGUUGUGUGUGUGAUAAAGUUAGGUCUGUGUACAGUGUUGUGUGUGUGAUUAAGUUAGGUCUGUGUACAGUGUUGUGUGUGUGAUUAAGUUAGGUCUGUGUACAGCGUUGUGUGUGAUAAAGUUAGGUCUGUGUACAGCGUUGUGUGUGAUUAAGUUAGGUCUGUGUACAGUGUUGUGUGUGUGAUAAAGUUAGGUCUGUGUACAGCGUUGUGUGUGAUAAAGUUAGGUCUGUGUACAGCGUUGUGUGUGAUUAAGUUAGGUCUGUGUACAGUGUUGUGUGUGUGUGAUAAAGUUAGGUCUGUGUACAGCGUUGUGUGUGAUUAAGUUAGGGCUGUGUACAGUGUUGUGUGUGUGUGAUAAAGUUAGGUCUGUGUACAGUGUUGUGUGUGUGAUUAAGUUAGGUCUGUGUACAGUGUUGUGUGUGUGAUUAAGUUAGGUCUGUGUACAGUGUUGUGUGUGUGUGAUAAAGUUAGGUCUGUGUACAGUGUUGUGUGUGUGAUAAAGUUAGGUCUGUGUACAGUGUUGUGUGUGUGAUUAAGUUAGGGCUGUGAAAAGUGUUGUGUGUGUGAUUAAGUUAGGGCUGUGUACAGUGUUGUUUGUGUGUGAUUAAGUUAGGGCUGUGUACAGUGUUGUGUGUGAUUAAGUUAGGGCUGUGUACAGUGUUGUGUGUGUGAUUAAGUUAGGGCUGUGAAAAGUGUUGUGUGUGUGAUUAAGUUAGGUCUGUGUACAGUGUUGUUUGUGUGUGAUUAAGUUAGGGCUGUGUACAGUGUUGUGUGUGAUUAAGUUAGGGCUGUGUACAGUGUUGUGUGUGUGAUUAAGUUAGGGCUGUGUACAGUGUUGUGUGUGUGAUUGAGGUUUGUUUUCCAGUGGGGUAUACUGUAUUGGUGUGUUCCAGAUCGUGAGUGAGGGUAUGUGUUGUGUGUUUGUGUCAGUGAAUGGGGGGGUAUGUGAUAUAGUGGGGUAUGUCCUGUAUGUAAUAUAUGUAUGUAUACUGCCAGUUAGUGGGAUGCCAGUGCGGGGCAGGGCAGUGGACAGACUCAGAUCAUUCCUGUGAUUUAACAUGACACCACUUGCACUAAGACUGCGACAGCUGCGUAUGCACAUGCCGCCAAUUCUGUUUGUUGUAGGGGCUUACGCUGCGAUAAAAGGCCAAGUGCAGAGUAGUGUGGCUGGGCCCAGAGCAUUACUCUUUCCCCCCAAUUUAGAAGGCU
Molecule: long non-coding RNA, 1292 nt
Filed under: Salmo salar (Atlantic salmon)
Lineage: Eukaryota; Metazoa; Chordata; Actinopteri; Salmoniformes; Salmonidae
Description: lncRNA (ENSSSAG00000105501.1)
Source: RNAcentral